UUCAUUUAAAAAUGAAAUUUUUAGCUAACAAGGAUAUUUUAAAUAUUUCUAUCAAAAUAAAGAGAUAUAUUUGCUCUGAAAGGGAAAUCCACAGUUUCGGGGCGACAGCUCAGUGAAGUCUUCAUUCAGUUACCUUCAAGGAAAGAAUUACCAGAAUACUAUGAAUUAAUUAGGAAGCCAGUGGAUUUCAAAAAAAUAAAGGAAAGGAUCCGUAAUCAUAAGUACCGGAGCCUAGGCGACCUGGAGAAGGAUGUCAUGCUUCUCUGUCACAACGCUCAGACGUUCAACCUGGAGGGAUCCCAGAUCUAUGAAGACUCCAUCGUCUUACAGUCAGUGUUUAAGAGUGCCCGGCAGAAAAUUGCCAAAGAGGAAGAGAGUGAGGAUGAAAGCAAUGAAGAGGAGGAAGAGGAAGAUGAAGAAGAGUCAGAGUCCGAGGCAAAAUCAGUCAAGGUGAAAAUUAAGCUCAAUAAAAAAGAUGAGAAAGGCCGGGACAAAGGAAAAGGCAAGAAAAGGCCAAAUCGAGGAAAAGCCAAACCUGUAGUGAGCGAUUUUGACAGCGAUGAGGAGCAGGAUGAACGUGAACAGUCAGAAGGAAGUGGGACGGAUGAUGAGUGAUCAGUAUGGACCUUUUUCCUUGGUAGAACUGAAUUCCUUCCUCCCCUGUCUCAUUUC
RNAcentral lists this small RNA (672 nucleotides) under Pan troglodytes (chimpanzee). RNAcentral describes it as "processed transcript". The record is from RNAcentral. Lineage: Eukaryota; Metazoa; Chordata; Mammalia; Primates; Hominidae.